This is a long non-coding RNA of Ictidomys tridecemlineatus (thirteen-lined ground squirrel), 2519 nucleotides long. RefSeq lists it as uncharacterized. NCBI's taxonomy places the organism in Eukaryota, Metazoa, Chordata, Mammalia, Rodentia, Sciuridae. The record is from RefSeq and is a predicted model, not a curated record.
CAUUAAUUCAUCAGUAUUCUCACCGAUGGCAUCUGGAGAGACAGACGUAUUCCUGCUUUCUUCCAAGUCCUCAAAAGUGCUCUUUCGUCGCCAGGUAAACACUUGGACGACCACUUUGUGGAUAAUCAUUCCCUCCUGGGCUCACACUCCAGAGACCAUGAAGGGCUCCCUCCCGGAUUUUAAUGGAUCAAAGAAAAUGGUCUGAAGUGUGUCCGUGAUCACUGCCUGUGGCCCCCUCCUCUGAUGACAAGCCUGGAGUAGCACUGAGGACCGAGAGCUCUCUAGUGAUGGAAACACCCGGAGCUGUGUGACCUCUACCACCUGCUCAACCUCUCUGUGCCUGGUUUCCUCCUCCACACAGUCACAGAACGUACCUUGAAGGGCUGCUGAGAGCACCACCUUGGUUUUGGGUGCACUGCUGGUAUUAAUAGCAACGGAAGCAGAGAGUGGUGGAGAGACCACAGUGUGGCUGGCAACUCAUUCACCUUCUGCCCACUCCAGAUCUGGCACCUUCCAAACCCCACAGAACCCUAGACAAGGCCUCUGGUCUCAUCUGGUCCACCUCUUCAUGUAGGCCCAGCAGGACAAAUCAUUUCCACCGGACCCUCUCCUCCAGGGGAGCUUGCUCAGAGAUGUGGGACACAGUGCAGUGCCAACCAGGGGGAACAUAGUGAGUGUUUGUUGAUGGACUAAUUUCAGCCCUUCAGGAAGGUGCUCCUAUGAAGGGAGGUGGGUGAAACCAUGGCUGUGUGGCAGUGAAGCCAGAGGGAUGUGACAGCAGGGGCCACAGGACAGUCAGCUCUGACACAGGAGAAGGGGCAGGGAGCUGGGGGGGGCUUCCUGAAAGAGGGGGCUUUUGAGGUGGGUUUAAAGAAUGGAAGGAGGCUCAGGAAGCCUGGGGCAAACCAUUUGAGGUGUGGGGCUCUGAGGGUCGGGUCAGGGCUGCAGGACAGCAGCAGGAAAGAGCUGGAGGCUCCCUCCCCUGCAGCCAGCCCUUUCGGGUCUGGCAGGCAGGUGGGCGUCCCCAAGGAAAUCCCCAGAACGGGACCGUGGGUGGCCUGUGUGGCUAGCUGGGCACUCUGCAUCUGUAGCAGCCACACAGCUCCGAGGAGACGAGAUCGUGGGGCCUACUUACUUGUGUGCACUUUCCGGGACUGAAGUAGGUGGGGGAAGGCACCAGAGGGCCGCCCACCCGCCCCCACAGAGAGGGCCCCCGGCAGCCUUCUGUGAGUUGAGCAGCUGCACGGGAGACCUGUGUUUUCUCAGGCUCACCCGCGUGCCCAUGCGGGGCCUGAGAAAGUCCCUGUGUGUGUGCGUGACUCAGAGGCAGGUGGUCAGCCGAGGAAAUGACACCAGGCCCCUGCACGGGGUCUCCGCAUUCCAGUCCGUGUUCCCACGGUGCCCUGCGUCGUCAACAGCUCCCAAACAGGCCCUCUCCACGGGAACCCGCCCUCCAGGACAGGCACGGGCUCGCUGCAUGUCAGGAGGCUGAGUUCUAACUGACAAAUUGGAGAGGUUCCCCAAGGCAAGGGUUACUGAGCUCUGUCAUUCUCACUAAAAAUGUGAUUUAUAAUAUAUUCCUACUUGCCAGACACUCCUUUCCCCAGGAAUGAACACUUAACGCAGACAUGGGAGGCUAUCCCAAGGCCUGAGCCCACAGGCGCACACACCCCUCCAAGUGUUCACUGCAAAUGAGCAGACGUGCCCAGGCCCUGGGCAGCAUUUCGAUAAGUCUUCAUAUCUAAGCAAACACUUAAAAUUCAGGACAGGGCGAGAGUGGCCCAUGAUUGAUUUUAGCAUUUCACAUUCUAAAGGAAAGAUCUAAGGGUCUGAUGAAGGAGGUCGUAUUGGACCUCGGGGUGUAGCUCAGUGGGGCCUCCGGCUUAGCGAGCACGAGGCCCUGGGUUCCAUUCUCUGAACAAAAAAAAAAGAAAGUAAAGAAAAUGUAUUUCCUAACAUUCCUUAGAGUUUAUAAAAGAAAACAGUUUUUCUUGCUCCUUCAAUCAUCUGAUAUUUCUGAAUGCGGCAUGGGUCAGAUAGUGAAGAGCAAGCUGCGCCUUGGGACGGGCUUCCUGAGACCCUUUGUAAAAAACACACACAAAAGCAGCUGAAGCCGCCUGACUUCUCUUAGGAGUCGGGUUAAAGUUGCAAACUCAUUUUUGCGGGAGAUAACCAGAAAUCCUCUAAGCGGUCUAAGUGGGCAGGACCGGAUUUGAUCUCUGCGUCUGAUUGCCUAGCAGAAGUCAAGCAGCCAAUGUCUCAACAAUGUCUCCAUAUCAUGAAACUUCCUAAAAAUCUUCAAGGGAGUAACCUGAGCUCCUGAAAAAUGAUCUCGAAUGUCCACAGGACAAAGCUUCCCUUCUAAGAUAUAAAGGGGGAGCUGGAGCAGGCCUCCCUAUUCGACUCGACAGGAAUCUUGUUUCUUUGUCUGUGCUCUGGAGGGCUUCUGAGGAGGCGGCUAUGUCUUGGUUAAGAGGAAUGAUUAAAAGAAUUUACAUAUAGUAAGCAUUUAAAAUUGA